GAUGAACGCUGGCGGCGUGCUUAACACAUGCAAGUCGAACGAUGAAGCCCAGCUUGCUGGGUGGAUUAGUGGCGAACGGGUGAGUAGCACGUGAGUAACCUGCCCUUAACUCUGGGAUAAGCCUGGGAAACUGGGUCUAAUACCGGAUAGGAGCGUCCACCGCAUGGUGGGUGUUGGAAAGAUUUAUCGGUUUUGGAUGGACUCGCGGCCUAUCAGCUUGUUGGUGAGGUAAUGGCUCACCAAGGCGACGACGGGUAGCCGGCCUGAGAGGGUGACCGGCCACACUGGGACUGAGACACGGCCCAGGCUCCUACGGGAGGCAGCAGUGGGGAAUAUUGCACAAUGGGCGCAAGCCUGAUGCAGCGACGCCGCGUGAGGGAUGACGGCCUUCGGGUUGUAAACCUCUUUCAGUAGGGAAGAAGCGAAAGUGACGGUACCUGCAGAAGAAGCACCGGCUAACUACGUG
This 466-nucleotide ribosomal RNA is filed under the name uncultured bacterium. Its description in RNAcentral is "partial 16S ribosomal RNA". It matches the Rfam family "Bacterial small subunit ribosomal RNA", at positions 28 to 507 of the family's 1533-position model. The record is from RNAcentral.